AUUGAACGCUGGCGGCAUGCUUUACACAUGCAAGUCGAACGGCAACGAGGAGAAGCUUGCUUCUCUGUCGGCGAGUGGAGAACGGGUGAGUAUAGCAUCGGAACGUGCCAAGUAGUGGGGGAUACCCAAACGAACGUUUGGCUAAUACCGCUUAAGCUCCAAGGAGGAAAGUAGGGGAUCUAAACAAGGCCUUACGCUAUUUGAUCGGCCGAUGUCGGAUUAGCAAGUUGGUGGGGUAAUGGCUCACCAAGGCAAUGAUCCGUAGCGGGUCUGAGAGGACGAUCCGCCACACUGGGACUGAGACACGGCCCAGACUCCUACGGGAGGCAGCAGUGGGGAAUUUUGGACAAUGGGGGAAACCCUGAUCCAGCCAUGCCGCGUGUAUGAAGAAGGCCUUAGGGUUGUAAAGUACUUUUGUUAGGGAAGAAAAGCUAGUUUUUAAUAAAAAUUAGUGAUGACGGUACCUAAAGAAUAAGCACCGGCUAACUACGUG
RNAcentral lists this ribosomal RNA (493 nucleotides) under uncultured bacterium. RNAcentral describes it as "partial 16S ribosomal RNA". It matches the Rfam family "Bacterial small subunit ribosomal RNA", at positions 30 to 507 of the family's 1533-position model. The record is from RNAcentral.